RNAcentral lists this ribosomal RNA (122 nucleotides) under Daphnia magna. The record is from RNAcentral. Lineage: Eukaryota; Metazoa; Arthropoda; Branchiopoda; Diplostraca; Daphniidae.
AUCAAUGGCCAUACCACGCAGAAAAAAACCUGGUCUCGUCAGCUCCAAGAAGAUAAGCUGCGUCGGGUCCCGUUAGUAUACCUAGAAGGGUGACCGCUUGGGAAUACGGGAUGCUGUUGGCA